Molecule: ribosomal RNA, 850 nt
Filed under: Microbispora sp. I11A-02171
Lineage: Bacteria; Bacillati; Actinomycetota; Actinomycetes; Streptosporangiales; Streptosporangiaceae
Description: bacterial SSU rRNA
Rfam family: Bacterial small subunit ribosomal RNA
Source: RNAcentral
GUGCUUACACAUGCAAGUCGAGCGGAAGGCCCUUCGGGGUACUCGAGCGGCGAACGGGUGAGUAACACGUGAGUAACCUGCCCCUGACUCUGGGAUAAGCCUGGGAAACCGGGUCUAAUACCGGAUAUGACACUCCUCCGCAUGGUGUGGGUGUGGAAAGUUUUUUCGGUUGGGGAUGGACUCGCGGCCUAUCAGCUUGUUGGUGGGGUGAUGGCCUACCAAGGCGACGACGGGUAGCCGGCCUGAGAGGGCGACCGGCCACACUGGGACUGAGACACGGCCCAGACUCCUACGGGAGGCAGCAGUGGGGAAUAUUGCGCAAUGGGCGAAAGCCUGACGCAGCGACGCCGCGUGGGGGAUGACGGCCUUCGGGUUGUAAACCUCUUUCAGCAGGGACGAAGUUGACGUGUACCUGUAGAAGAAGCGCCGGCUAACUACGUGCCAGCAGCCGCGGUAAUACGUAGGGCGCGAGCGUUGUCCGGAAUUAUUGGGCGUAAAGAGCUCGUAGGUGGCUUGUUGCGUCUGCCGUGAAAGCCCGUGGCUUAACUACGGGUCUGCGGUGGAUACGGGCAGGCUAGAGGCUGGUAGGGGCAAGCGGAAUUCCUGGUGUAGCGGUGAAAUGCGCAGAUAUCAGGAGGAACACCGGUGGCGAAGGCGGCUUGCUGGGCCAGUUCUGACGCUGAGGAGCGAAAGCGUGGGGAGCGAACAGGAUUAGAUACCCUGGUAGUCCACGCUGUAAACGUUGGGCGCUAGGUGUGGGGGUCUUCCACGAUCUCUGUGCCGUAGCUAACGCAUUAAGCGCCCCGCCUGGGGAGUACGGCCGCAAGGCUAAAACUCAAAGGAAUUGACG